CGUGCUUAACACAUGCAAGUCGAACGGUGAAGCAGAGCUUGCUCUGUGGAUCAGUGGCGAACGGGUGAGUAACACGUGAGCAAUCUGCCCCUGACUCUGGGAUAAGCGCUGGAAACGGCGUCUAAUACCGGAUACGAGACGUGAAGGCAUCUUCAACGUCUGGAAAGAACUUCGGUCAGGGAUGAGCUCGCGGCCUAUCAGCUAGUUGGUGAGGUAAUGGCUCACCAAGGCGUCGACGGGUAGCCGGCCUGAGAGGGUGACCGGCCACACUGGGACUGAGACACGGCCCAGACUCCUACGGGAGGCAGCAGUGGGGAAUAUUGCACAAUGGGCGCAAGCCUGAUGCAGCAACGCCGCGUGAGGGACGACGGCCUUCGGGUUGUAAACCUCUUUUAGCAAGGAAGAAGCGAAAGUGACGGUACUUGCAGAAAAAGCGCCGGCUAACUACGUGCCAGCAGCCGCGGUAAUACGUAGGGCGCAAGCGUUAUCCGGAAUUAUUGGGCGUAAAGAGCUCGUAGGCGGUUUGUCGCGUCUGCUGUGAAAACUGGAGGCUCAACCUCCAGCCUGCAGUGGGUACGGGCAGACUAGAGUGCGGUAGGGGAGAUUGGAAUUCCUGGUGUAGCGGUGGAAUGCGCAGAUAUCAGGAGGAACACCGAUGGCGAAGGCAGAUCUCUGGGCCGUAACUGACGCUGAGGAGCGAAAGGGUGGGGAGCAAACAGGCUUAGAUACCCUGGUAGUCCACCCCGUAAACGUUGGGAACUAGUUGUG
RNAcentral lists this ribosomal RNA (768 nucleotides) under Microbacterium sp. RNAcentral describes it as "bacterial SSU rRNA". It matches the Rfam family "Bacterial small subunit ribosomal RNA", at positions 43 to 824 of the family's 1533-position model. Lineage: Bacteria; Bacillati; Actinomycetota; Actinomycetes; Micrococcales; Microbacteriaceae. The record is from RNAcentral.